Molecule: ribosomal RNA, 497 nt
Filed under: uncultured bacterium
Lineage: Bacteria
Description: partial 16S ribosomal RNA
Rfam family: Bacterial small subunit ribosomal RNA
Source: RNAcentral
GAUGAACGCUGGCGGCGUGCCUAAUACAUGCAAGUCGAGCGAACAGACGAGGAUCUUGCUCCUCUGACGUUAGCGGCGGACGGGUGAGUAACACGUAGAUAACCUACCUAUAAGACUGGGAUAACUUCGGGAAACUGGAGCUCAUACCGGAUAAUAUAUUGAACCGCAUGGUUCAAUAGUGAAAGACGGUUUUGCUGUCACUUAUAGAUGGAUCCGCGCCGCAUUAGCUAGUUGGUAAGGUAACGGCUUACCAAGGCAACGAUGCGUAGCCGACCUGAGAGGGUGAUCGGCCACACUGGAACUGAGACACGGUCCAGACUCCUACGGGAGGCAGCAGUAGGGAAUCUUCCGCAAUGGGCGAAAGCCUGACGGAGCAACGCCGCGUGAGUGAUGAAGGUCUUCGGAUCGUAAAACUCUGUUAGUAGGGAAGAACAAAUGUGUAAGUAACUAUGCACGUCGUGACGGUACCUAAUCAGAAAGCCACGGCUAACUACGUG